This 253-nucleotide ribosomal RNA is filed under the name uncultured bacterium. Its description in RNAcentral is "partial 16S ribosomal RNA". It matches the Rfam family "Bacterial small subunit ribosomal RNA", at positions 524 to 776 of the family's 1533-position model. The record is from RNAcentral.
GACAGAAGGUGCGAGCGUUACUCGGAAUUACUGGGCGUAAAGCGUCCGCAGGCGUCCUCCCACGUCUUGGGUAAAAGCACGGAGCUUAACUCCGUGUACGUCUUGGAAACGAGGAGGAUUGAGUCACUCAGAGGCAUCUGGAAUGCCGUGUGUAGGGGUAAAAUCCGUUGAUCCACGGUGGAACGCCGAAAGCGAAAGCAGGAUGCUGGGAGUGUACUGACGCUCAGGGACGAAAGCGUGGGGAGCAAACGGG